RNAcentral lists this long non-coding RNA (261 nucleotides) under Homo sapiens (human). RNAcentral describes it as "non-protein coding lnc-MTRF1-6:1". The record is from RNAcentral. Lineage: Eukaryota; Metazoa; Chordata; Mammalia; Primates; Hominidae.
CAGUUGGCGGGAGGUCAGGUGAAUAUGUUGGAUGAGGCAAAAAUUCAUAGCCCAAUUUGUUCAACUUUUGAAGCGUUGGUUGUGCAAUGUGUGGUUGGGUGUUGUCAUGGAGAAGAAUUGGGCCCUAUUUGUUGACCAAUGCCGGCUGCAGGCUUUGCGGUUUUCAGUGGAUCUCUUUGAUUUGCUGAGCAUACUUGUCAGAUGUGAUAGUUUUGCAGGGAUUCAGAAAGCUGUCGUGGAUCAGAUCGGCAGCAGACCAUC